UACGUAGGGGGCCAGCGUUGUUCGGAAUUACUGGGUGUAAAGGGUUCGUAGGCGGUGCGGCAAGUUGGGAGUGAAAUCUCUGGGCUUAACCCAGAGACGGCUUCCAAAACUGCUGUGCUUGAGGUUGGGAGAGGGAUGCGGAAUUCCAGGUGUAGCGGUGAAAUGCGUAGAUAUCUGGAGGAACACCGGUGGCGAAGGCGGCAUCCUGGACCAAUUCUGACACUGAGGAGCGAAAGCCAGGGGAGCAAACGGG
RNAcentral lists this ribosomal RNA (253 nucleotides) under uncultured bacterium. Its description in RNAcentral is "partial 16S ribosomal RNA". It matches the Rfam family "Bacterial small subunit ribosomal RNA", at positions 524 to 776 of the family's 1533-position model. The record is from RNAcentral.